This 770-nucleotide ribosomal RNA is filed under the name uncultured bacterium. RNAcentral describes it as "bacterial SSU rRNA". It matches the Rfam family "Bacterial small subunit ribosomal RNA", at positions 62 to 818 of the family's 1533-position model. The record is from RNAcentral.
UCGAGCGAGAAAGGUCCUUCGGGGCCGAGUACAGCGGCGAACGGGUGAGUAACACGUGGGUAACCUACCCCGAAGACCGGGACAACAGCUCGAAAGGGCUGCUAAUACUGGAUGACGUGACGCCCGCUAAGUGGACGUCACCAAAAGGUAGCUUCGGCCUCCGCUUCGGGAUGGGCCCGCGCAGCAUUAGCUUGUUGGUAGGGUAACGGCCUACCAAGGCUGCGAUGCUUAGCUGGUCUGAGAGGACGAUCAGCCACACUGGGACUGAGAUACGGCCCAGACUCCUACGGGAGGCAGCAGUGGGGAAUCUUGCGCAAUGGGCGAAAGCCUGACGCAGCAACGCCGCGUGAGCGAAGAAGGCCUUCGGGUUGUAAAGCUCUGUCAGGAGGGACGAAGCCACUCGGGUGAAUAGCCCAGAGGGUGACGGUACCUCCAGAGGAAGCCCCGGCUAACUACGUGCCAGCAGCCGCGGUAAUACGUAGGGGGCAAGCGUUGUCCGGAAUUAUUGGGCGUAAAGAGCGUGUAGGCGGCUUGUCAAGUCCGGUGUGAAAUCUCGGGGCUCAACCCCGAAACUGCAUUGGAAACUGGCUUGCUAGAGUCCGGAAGAGGAGAUUGGAAUUCCUGGUGUAGCGGUGAAAUGCGCAGAUAUCAGGAAGAACACCCGUGGCGAAGGCGGAUCUCUGGGACGGUACUGACGCUGAGACGCGAAAGCGUGGGGAGCAAACAGGAUUAGAUACCCUGGUAGUCCACGCCGUAAACGAUGGGCACUA